RNAcentral lists this ribosomal RNA (468 nucleotides) under uncultured bacterium. Its description in RNAcentral is "bacterial SSU rRNA". It matches the Rfam family "Bacterial small subunit ribosomal RNA", at positions 28 to 491 of the family's 1533-position model. The record is from RNAcentral.
GAUGAACGCUAGCGGCAGGCUUAACACAUGCAAGUCGAGGGGCAGCACGGGUAGCGAUACCUGGUGGCGACCGGCGCAAGGGUGCGUAACGCGUGAGCAACAUGCCCUAUACAGGGGGAUAAUCCAGGGAAACUUGGUCUAAUAUCCCAUAGUAUUUAGAGGAGGCAUCUUCUAUAAAUUAAAGCUUCGGUGGUAUAGGAUUGGCUCGCGUGACAUUAGCUAGAUGGUGAGGUAACGGCUCACCAUGGCAAUGAUGUCUAGGGGUUCUGAGAGGAAGGCCCCCCACACUGGGACUGAGACACGGCCCAGACUCCUACGGGAGGCAGCAGUGAGGAAUAUUGGACAAUGGAUGGAAAUCUGAUCCAGCCAUGCCGCGUGCAGGAAGACAGCCCUAUGGGUUGUAAACUGCUUUUAUAUGGGAGCAAUAAGGUCUACGUGUAGACUGAUGAGAGUACCAUAUGAAUAAGC